CCCGUCUCUGUAGCAAAAGAGUGGGAAGAUCUCCAGGUAGAAGUGACACACUUAUCGAGCUUGGUGAUAGCUGGUUGCCUAAGAAUUGGAUAAAAGUUCAGCCUCGUAACUCCUCCGCCCAAANAUCACUCACACAACACGANCCAGAGAAACUUACGAGAGUUAGUCAAAGGGGGUACAGCCCCUAUGACACAGGACACAACCUUCUCAGGUGGUUAAAGAUCAUAUACCCUAAAACA
RNAcentral lists this ribosomal RNA (239 nucleotides) under Apteronotus albifrons (black ghost). Its description in RNAcentral is "partial 16S ribosomal RNA". It matches the Rfam family "Bacterial large subunit ribosomal RNA", at positions 779 to 1062 of the family's 2925-position model. The record is from RNAcentral. Lineage: Eukaryota; Metazoa; Chordata; Actinopteri; Gymnotiformes; Apteronotidae.